Molecule: ribosomal RNA, 464 nt
Filed under: uncultured bacterium
Lineage: Bacteria
Description: partial 16S ribosomal RNA
Rfam family: Bacterial small subunit ribosomal RNA
Source: RNAcentral
ACGAACGCUGGCGGCGUGCUUAACACAUGCCAGUCGAACGGAAAGGCCCUGCUUGCAGGGUACUCGAGUGGCGAACGGGUGAGUAACACGUGGGUGAUCUGCCCUGCACUUCGGGAUAAGCCUGGGAAACUGGGUCUAAUACCGGAUAGGAGCCAUUUUUAGUGUGAUGGUUGGAAAGUUUUUUCGGUGUAGGAUGAGCUCGCGGCCUAUCAGCUUGUUGGUGGGGUAAUGGCCUACCAAGGCGGCGACGGGUAGCCGGCCUGGGAGGGUGGACGGCCACAUUGGGACUGAGAUACGGCCCAGACUCCUACGGGAGGCAGCAGUGGGGAAUAUUGCACAAUGGGCGCAAGCCUGAUGCAGCGACGCCGCGUGGGGGAUGACGGCCUUCGGGUUGUAAACUCCUUUCGCUAGGGACGAAGCUUUUUGUGACGGUACCUAGAUAAGAAGCACCGGCUAACUACGUG